CACGAGUUAUCAAAAUUGAGUUG
RNAcentral lists this non-coding RNA (23 nucleotides) under Arabidopsis thaliana (thale cress). The record is from RNAcentral. Lineage: Eukaryota; Viridiplantae; Streptophyta; Magnoliopsida; Brassicales; Brassicaceae.